AUUAACGCUGGCGGCGUGCCUAACCCAUGCAAGUCGAGCGGCAGCGAGUUUUACACUGAAUUCUGGAAGCUUCUAGUUGAAAGAGAAGAUUUAUUCAAGAAUUUUGUGUAAAAUGUCGGCGAGCGGCGGACGGCUGAGUAACGCGUGGGAACGUACCCCAAAGUGAGGGAUAACGCAUCGAAAGGUGUGCUAAUACCGCAUAUGGUCUUCGGAUUAAAGCCUUCGGGCGCUUUGGGAACGGCCUGCGUAAGAUUAGAUAGUUGGUGGGGUAAUGGCCUACCAAGUCGACGAUCUUUAACUGGUUUGAGAGGAUGAUCAGUCAGACUGGAACUGAGACACGGUCCAGACUCCUACGGGAGGCAGCAGUGAGGAAUCUUCCACAAUGGGCGAAAGCCUGAUGGAGCAACGCCGCGUGCAGGAUGAAGGCCUUCGGGUUGUAAACUGCUUUUAUAAGUGAGGAUUAUGACAGUAACUUAUGAAUAAGGAUCGGCUAACUACGUG
Molecule: ribosomal RNA, 501 nt
Filed under: uncultured bacterium
Lineage: Bacteria
Description: partial 16S ribosomal RNA
Rfam family: Bacterial small subunit ribosomal RNA
Source: RNAcentral